Molecule: long non-coding RNA, 2081 nt
Filed under: Macaca fascicularis (crab-eating macaque)
Lineage: Eukaryota; Metazoa; Chordata; Mammalia; Primates; Cercopithecidae
Description: lncRNA (ENSMFAG00000063106.1)
Source: RNAcentral
UUUUUUUUUUCUUUUUUGGAGACGGGGUCUUACUCUGUCGCCCAGGCUGGAGUGCAAUGGCGCGAUCUCGGCUCACUGCAACCUCCACCUCCCAGGUUCAAGUGAUUCUCCUGCCUCAGCCUCCCGGUAGCUGGGAUUACAGGCGCGCAUCACUAUGCCUGGGUAAUUUUUGUAUUUUUAGUAGAGACGGGGUUUCUCCCUGUUGGCCAGGCUGGUCUUGAACUCCUGACCUCAAGUGAUCCAUCCGCCUCUGCCUCCCAAAGUGCCGGGAUUACAGGUGUGAGUCACUGCACCCUGCCAGACACAUUUUUUCUAUCCUGGGUUUAGAUAUGCCUCUUCCCCAGGGCAGGACAAAGGUGCAGCACGAGAGGGCUAGAGCACAAAAUUUAAGAAGCCGCAACCCCGAGGGAGAGGCCUCCUUGAAAUUUGCACCUUUACCCACUCCCUUGCCCUACUCUAGUCCAGGCUUUACUCUUCCAUUUAUACGUUCUCAAAUGCAAUGUCCUUUCUGGGGUUUGGAUUUGCAGAGCUAGGUCCUGCUCAUGCGGGCAGGGUUGGAGGAAGGUUUGCAGAGCCCUUUUUCCACCGCAAAACAUGGAGCCAUUACUUAUGGUCAUUCUUGCCAUGCUGUGGUUGGGCCCACAUCUCCCAACUUUGGCACCGAGUGCAAGGGGCUCUUCCUAAUUAUGGGUUGAUGACUUCCAGGGCACUUGGUGUUAAGUUACCUUCACAAGAAACCAGAUGGGUCCUUGGACAAGGGUAACUUGCUUUCAUUCACUGGUGCUUUACAUUAGAGAAAUAAAUCCCAAUCUGCCUUCACAGGAAAUUAUGAUAAUUUGUCUAAUAACAGAAUGAUAAUUUCGUAUAUUAACAUAAAGUUCUUUGCUAAUCAGACCUUGCUGGACUAAAUGAGUCAAGAUAAGCUCCUCCAGAGCAUGUGGUUCUCAUUACUCUGUGUCCAGGCAUCUGAUAACACAGAUAGUAGGUGCUCAAUGAAUGUUUGUUCAUUGAACAUAUGAAUGAAGAAACACCCAGUCUCAGAGUGAAAUUAAUACUCAGUCUAUCAGGGCCUAGGCCCUUUAAGUAGCAGAAAGGGCAGAGCCAUGAACCUGACCUAAUGAUUUAAAAAUCAACCACUGCUGUUUCCUCCCUACAGAAACAAGUCCUCCUUCUGGCUUUUGCUGACAGGCACUUUUUCAUCUUCUGUUUUGUGAGAGACUGGUUUCUAGCUAUCACCUUAGCUCUUGCUGCCUGACUGGAUAUUUCACAUCUUUCUAGAUCUAUCCUCUUUCUCCCACACCCACGUCCACUGAUGGAACCAACCUCUGAGAAACUCUGACCCUGAGCUUAUGGUGAUCUUUCUUGUUGUGGCUCCUGACCUGCAACUAUAAACACUGCAUUCUGCCUUGGAAUAGUUUAAAUACCUCACCUGCCCUAGUGGCUCCCUGGCAAAGAGUCCUUUUGACAAAUUCAGACACACUGGUGCCAUCCUCAGCUGCUGCUCUACUUCGGAUGUUUGUCCCCUGACAUCUCAUGUUGAAAUUUAAUCCCCAGUGCUGGAGGUGGGGCCUAAUGGGAGGUGUUCGGGUCAUGGAGACAGAUCCCUCAUGAAGGGCUUGGUGCCAUCCUGGUGGAGAUGAGUGAAUUCCUGCUAUAUUAUUUUCCUUGAGAGCUGGUUGUUAAAAAAAAAAAAAAAAAGAAAAAACAACAAAAAAAGGUGGUCGUCUCCCUUCUCUUUCACCAUUUGCUUGCGCAUACCAGCUCCUCUUUGCUUUCCGCCAUGAGUGGAAGCAGCCUAUAGCCCUCACCAGAAGUAGAUGCUGGUGUCAUGCUUCUUGUACAGCCUGUAGAACCAUGAGCCAAAUAAACCUCUUUUCUUUAUAAAUUACCUAGCCUCAGGUAUUCCUUUAUAGAAACACAAAUGGACUAAGACAACCUGCCAUCUUGAGACUUCUGCCAUCAACUGCACAAGGGUUGCACCCAGCAAGCACUGCUCGGUGCCCUGCUGCCAUCUCCUGGAGAUUGUUGAUCCUCUCCUGCUCCUUAGACUGUUGGGCCUGCUCUCCUUAACCAGUUCUAAC